GUAAGACCAUCUGAUGAGGCGAUGACUGAGCUCCUCACUUUCCUCAGACCCAGCCCUCGGUUCUGACCCAUGCCUGCCCUCCCAGCUGCCCCAGGCACCGGGAACGUGCCCUGGCACAGGUAUAUUCCCUAUGUCUCUGCCCUAGCCUCAGCCAGGGAACCCACCAGGAGCAGACGGAGCCUCGAAACAAGUGCCGCCCAAGAGAAAUAUAAUGUGAGCCACACAUUUAAUUUAAAAUUUUCUGCUGGCUUCAUUUCUCAAAAGUAUAUCCAAAAUACUGUCAUUUCAACAUGUGCUAUGAAACACACUGCAAGUGUUGACCAGCUGCAUGUGGCUAGUGGUGACCAUGUCGGAUGGGGCAGCUCCAUGCAGAUCCCUGCACCUGUCCCUUCCAGAGCAAGGAUGACAGCAGGAAGGAUCCGGAAAAGCUGAGCCUCUGCCAACCCCAUGUCAUACCGAGUCUUGACUCGAGAACAAUGAUGCCCAGCAUGCUGCCAGCUGUAAGACAUCGCUCCUGCUGUCUCUGUGCCCUGUACGUCUUCCCAUUCUGCCUGAGUCAGCUCAAAUGUCACCACCGCCGGGGAGUCUUCCUGGAAUGCCUGUAGCGCUAACUUCAGAAUUUGAAAAUAGCUCUUCACAGUCUCUCCUGACAAUAGCUACCAUUUGUUGGGCAUUUACCAUGGGGCCACUAGCCCCCUGAGCGCAAGAAGUGUACCUCUCCACCUGUGGGUCCUGGACACCUGCUGUGGAACAGGGCCUGAAACACCUGCUGCAUCAAGUUCUUCUGAUCCUCCCCACUGCAGUGUUCUUGUUCGUUUGUGUUUAAUUUUUUAAAAUUUGCUUUAAAUCCUGCCUGGGGAAAAGAGCAAGAAUACACUGCGCAUGGCCAGUUUAAAAACAUCUGCCCGUGUCCUCUAUGAUAGCCCGUCCUAUUUUCAAAGAGCGAGGUAUAGCAGUGUCCCGGAGCGCCUGGUGCCAAUGAUAAGUGGCGCUGCACCGUGUGGCAGAGCUAACGUCCCAGAGCCACCGGGCCAUCACUCGCUGUGCCUUUCUGAUGGUUGCAGUUCAAAAUAGUAUUCUCUCUGAAUGGAACCCAUUCUAUUUUACAAAGUGUAAAUCUUGGGGCACC
Long non-coding RNA from Suricata suricatta (meerkat), 1129 nucleotides. RefSeq lists it as uncharacterized. NCBI's taxonomy places the organism in Eukaryota, Metazoa, Chordata, Mammalia, Carnivora, Herpestidae. The transcript has 3 exons. The record is from RefSeq and is a predicted model, not a curated record.